This 1137-nucleotide long non-coding RNA is filed under the name Carassius auratus (goldfish). RNAcentral's name for it is "lncRNA (ENSCARG00000028534.1)". Lineage: Eukaryota; Metazoa; Chordata; Actinopteri; Cypriniformes; Cyprinidae. The record is from RNAcentral.
UAUUCAAAUUGGCACCCCUCUUCAAAAACAUCUGAAGAAACUCUACCUGGGCUUUGAAAGAGUGGGCUGGCUAAACUGAUCAGAAGAAUCUGCACAAUUCCCCUGGCUGUAUGGUGACCAAACAGCUUUCAUGUCAUCAUUGUCUGCCAUCUUUUCCACGGAAGAGGCUGAACCGGGCCAGAGACAGACAGCAACAGGUGCCGUCUCUAGAGAUACGUGCUCCAGCAUGGACUGAUUUACCAAUACUGCCAACUCCUAUAUUUCACUCUCCUCAAGAAAGCAGCCAUCGCAUUUGAAAAUGAUCAGGUUCUCCAGAGACCUGAGGGAGCUGGAGAGAAACAAGGAGGGAUUCAAGCGGUCAAGGCUAAGUUAAACUGGGCCAGAAUGGCUGCCAGGAGGGAUUACAUGGGGCAGCUGCUGUGGGACUUUUUACAUCAAUAACGCAAGGCCACUUUGGGUCACCAACUACAAGCUUAGGAGCCACACAAUUGCCCCUUCACUCGGCUUAGAAACCAGCCAAACCUGAUUUACCACGGCUUUGAAAACCAAUGACCCUUUGUAUCCAUUCAUUGCCCCAUCGCCACACCAUUGACCUUCCCCCAAAACACUGGAGGACACUUCUCUUGGGAAGAAGAUGGAGAGCUAAACACAAUGCAACCUUACGUGACAAUGGCAACUUCAUAGGAACAUUUUGAAAGCAAAUCAUAUGCAGGCUGUAUUGAAUGAAUGAAUGAAUGAAUUAAAAAUUUUAAUUAAAGAUAUAUGAAAAAAUUACAUUAUAUUAUAGUAAUAAUAUAUUAGAUUUAAUAGUAUAUAUAUAUAUAUAUAUAUAUAUAUAUAUAUAUAUAUAUAUAUAUAUAUAUAUAUAUAUAUAUAUAUAUAUAUAUAUACACAAAUAAACUCAUAAAAUCAACUUAUUAAUUUAAAGAGAUAUUACUGUCAGUUUCCAAAAAAAAAAAAAAAAAAAAAGACAAAUGUGACAUAUACCAUAUAGAGCUAUGGGUAGUCUUAAAAUUAAUUCAUGCCAAUUUUAAACAAACAAACAAUGAUUAUUAUUCAAAUAUGACGCUUUUCACAGCUAUAUUAAAUAAAUUAAAAUUUAGAAUCAACAAUGAAAAAUACUAAAUAAAUGGUCAC